CGAGUUAGUCGCUGGUGCAUCCAAGACGGUGGCGCUCAAGCAAGAAGAUUCGAUAAGAGCGGGGAACGAAACUUUCACACUCCGAAAAACAAUUAGACCCGAUCCCGAGAGAAAGCGUGCUCAAACCCUAAUUUUCAUUCUUAACCCAUCGACCUCCUCCUCCCCAAACUCGCUCCUCCUCCUCUUCACCAUCACAAUCCUUCCUCCUCCAUUCUCCGGCGGAAUCUGAAGCUCCGAGAGAGCCGAAGAAACCUAGACCCCAACAAAGUUGAAGAAAUUGAUGAAGCUCUGAAUCCUUUCGACGACAAACUCGAGCUCCCUCUCCACCUUUAGCCGCCUCCGAUGGAGAUCAACCGGCUUAUGUUCGCUGCUUCCAGCUUUGUCGAUUAACCUAACACAACCACGAUGAUGACGGCUCAGUUGCACCCUGAAUAGACGUUGCCGGCUCCGAAAUUUCCGGACUUUCGAUUCUAUUCACACUAGUCGAGACUAGGAAGAAGAAGCGGUAGUGAUGAGUUCGGCGGUGCUGAAGGAGAGAAGAAGGCCAAAUGCUCUGACUGUGUCCCUUAAUUCGAAGAUUUACAGAGUCAGCGAUAGGCUCUUCCUCUGCCUCUCCGGCCUCACCACCUAUGCUCAUACUCUGUUUCAGAGGCUUAUGUAUAAACACAAGCUUUACCAGCAGAGGGAAGAGAGGCAUUUUUGAUGGGUGUUCUGUAUAUGCUUGAGCAAUGUGAUUUAGGUCACCUGAUGGAAAAGAUUGAAUGCUGACCGAACUCGGAAUCAAAGAUGGGGCACAACUAAAGCGCCAUUUGAUCCCCAAAUCUAGAGUGAAAUCUAAGAGAAGCAAAACGAAAAGCGAAAGCAAAACCAGAGAGAGGAGAGAAAAUACUUUGGGGAAAUCUAUUAGCAUUGGAAUCAAGUCUUCAGGGAGCCAGGAUGGGCACUGAUGGUGGAUAUUGGAAGGGUACCAUUCUUAUUCCUUUAAUAAUGAACUCUCUCUCAUGUCUAUUUAUAGUUACAAAUCCUAGUGAUUCUCAAUUAUAAGCAAUUAGCAUUUCCUCCAGAUUUUGGUUCUUCAAUCUUCGAUGGCAACAAUGAUAAUUUUAUUUAGAUAAAGAAGAAGUUGGAAUUUGGUUAAAUCCCUUUAUCUGUUAUGUUUAAUGUACGACUCAAUAUGGAUGCUGAUUCUAAUAGAAACUUUGACUGUCAUGAUCCACAGCUCUUGAUUAACCCAUAUUAUGAAUUUAUAACUACAAAUAAUAGAUUGGUUGGACACUUACUUACUUUUUAAUUUUUAGCAUUUGUGGAAUGUUUAUUGAGCUACCUGACUUUAGUCAUAGAGAUGAACAACCCAUAUCUAUGAAAACAGGAAGUUGUUAGGGUGUAUGUUAGUUUUUGUCCA
Long non-coding RNA from Rosa rugosa (rugosa rose), 1402 nucleotides. RefSeq lists it as uncharacterized. The transcript has 4 exons. Lineage: Eukaryota; Viridiplantae; Streptophyta; Magnoliopsida; Rosales; Rosaceae. The record is from RefSeq and is a predicted model, not a curated record.